CUACGGGGCGCACCAGUGAGGAAUAUUGCACAAUGGGGGGAACCCUGAUGCAGCAACGCCGCGUGGAGGAUGACGCAUUUCGGUGUGUAAACUCCUUUUAUAUGUCAAGAAAAUGACGGUAGCAUAUGAAUAAGCACCGGCUAACUCCGUGCCAGCAGCCGCGGUAAUACGGAGGGUGCAAGCGUUACUCGGAAUCACUGGGCGUAAAGGACGCGUAGGCGGGUUGGAAAGUCAGGUGUGAAAUCCUACAGCUUAACUGUAGAACUGCACUUGAAACUUCUAAUCUAGAGUAUGGGAGGGGAGAUGGAAUUAGUGGUGUAGGGGUCAAAUCCGUAGAUAUCACUAGGAAUACCUAAAGCGAAGGCGAUCUCCUGGAACAUUACUGACGCUAAGGCGUGAAAGCGUGGGGAGCAAACAGGAUUAGAUACCCUCGUAGUC
Molecule: ribosomal RNA, 438 nt
Filed under: uncultured bacterium
Lineage: Bacteria
Description: partial 16S ribosomal RNA
Rfam family: Bacterial small subunit ribosomal RNA
Source: RNAcentral